Molecule: RNA transcript, 3520 nt
Organism: Papilio xuthus (Asian swallowtail)
Lineage: Eukaryota; Metazoa; Arthropoda; Insecta; Lepidoptera; Papilionidae
Gene name: dentin sialophosphoprotein
Exons: 4
Source: RefSeq, a predicted model, not a curated record
GUAUUACUAAUAUGUUGUAACGUGUCUGUACUUUGAGAGAAGGGAUUCAGCUGAAAUUUUGAUAACACUUGUAACAUGAAUCUGUAUAAAACAAUAAAAAAAAGAAACGCAUGUCUAUGAGUAACAUGAUUUGACUUAUUAGUGUUCAAAUGGCCUUCUUUCUUGAUUUGCUUUGUAUGUACGAAGUAAAGGCGGCCGCAUCGCGUGUCGCCGACUUGGUACGUUGAACCUGUCGGGUCGAUAUAUUCCACCGUUGAUAUUCAAUCAAGUUCAAGUUUGACGAAUCGCCAUGGCUACAAAGUGCAAACACUGGUCGAUACCAUACACUUUGUCUAGCGUUCAAAGUGGUCAGUCUACACCCGAGCUGUACGAAGCACGGUAAGUGUUUAAUAAAUGAACAUUGAAUAAAAUUCCUCCUUGUACAUUAUUAGAAAUUUGAUAUUGUAGAAGAUGAAAGUACACGGUAUGAGAUCUUACAUAGAACCAACGCCUGUGCCCAAAAUGCCAGCAGGCCUUGUGGAACUAAUGGAAGGUCUUUCAAGGGAGGUGUUAAAAAAUAAUCCGAGUGAAGUAUAUAAAUUUUGUGCACAGCAUAUGAGGAACUUGCUAGUUCUGAGAGAUGGUAAACCACCUGAAAAGAAAUUAACUUUGGAACAAAAGAUAAGUAAAGCAAAUAACAUUAUAAAACGAAGAGCAGAGGAAAGACGUCGAAACUAUGAUAAUAUUAUGCGAUUAAAUGUGGACCAAGAUAAUAUAGAUCAAUCGUUUGUUAACGAUAUUGAGAUCGCGUCUAUUGUUAUAAAUGCUGAUAAUCUGAAUCAAUUUAAAGAUUCGGAAUCCCGCGAAAGUAAUCAAAAUAUUUCUGAGCAAAAUAUUGAAAAAGAGGAUAGUGAUCUGAAUACUGGAACAAACAACAAAGAUAAUGGACAUAACACUACUGAUGAAAGCGCAGUUAAAGAGGAUAACACUGAAAUCAAAACCAAUUUGCCUACAAAAGAUAAUGGUAAUAUGAACAAUGCAGUUUAUGAAACAAUUACAGAAGCUUUGGACACCGCGCAUAUCGUAAAUCAAGAGAAUAACAUUAGCGCUAUAGAUGACGAUAAAGUAAACGUUGCGCAAGCUGAUAUGAUUGUUUGCGAUAAAAGUGAAAAGGAAAUAUGCAUUAAUGUCGAAGAUAAUGAAGAUCGCAAUAAAAUAGUUCAAAAAUUAGAUAUCAAAGUCGAGAAUGAAGUAAAUCCUGAUCUUGUUAAUACCAAUAUUAAUGAGAUACCUAAUGAAGAAGUUUGCGAAUUAAGGACACCCGAAAUUAAUGUGAAGGAAGAAAAAGAACGUAAACGUGACGAUGACUCUCAGGAUAUUUCUAAAAAGGGAACGGAACAUAACAAUGUUCUCGAUACACAGGAUGCAAGUAAACAAACUAGUGAUGAUAGUGGUGAAAACAUCGAAGAGAAUGUUGAUACAACUAUCGGUGACGGUCAGACAGAUAGUGAGUCAAAUAAUGAACUCGAUAAUGAUGAUAUUAAUGAAAAUAAUUCACAAGUAAAGUACAUAGACAUAAUAGACAUCAGCACGGAUAACGAAAAAAAAGAUGAUACUAAUAACGCAGCAGUAACGAAUUAUGAAACAGAAGUUGACAGUGGCAUAUUAGAGAAGGAAGACGUUAUGAAUACAAAAACUGUCGAAGAUACAGCGCAUGUAUCACAAAAUCAAGCAGAAACGGUUGAAAAUGUCCGUCAGAUAAAUAACUUUAACCAAACGGAAGAAAAAGAUACUAAAACUAUUGUUAUAGACACUGGGGACAAUGUUGCUGAAAACGAGAAACAGGUCAUUGAGGCAACGAAUGACCUUAAUAAAUCUUUAGAGGAUAAAUCUGAAGAUAACAUAAUUAAAGUGGCGUUGGUAAGCGACCAUAAAAUUGAUGAAAUGAAUAACUGUAAUGCAGAUAUUACUGAAGUAAAUAAUGAUGAAACAAAAGAAGACUUUGAUAUAAAUAAAUUAAGUAACGACCAAAAAGAAAGUGAUAUAAAAAUAAAUAUUGACAACGAACAGCAAAAGGAAGAUAUUAAAAAUGACGCAACCAGUAAUCGGGAUAACACUGAACUCUCCAUUAAAGAAUCUGACGACAUCGAGUCAAACAAUAGUAAUGAGCCCGAAGCAAAUAUAUCAAAAAGUCCUAAGACUAUGGAUUUGGAAACAGCUGCUAUAACAAUUCAAAAAGUGUUUCGUAAUUUUCUUUUUAGAAGUAAAACGUCCAGUUUUGAGGAACCAACAAACGUUGAGUUUAACAUGUUUGGAGGUGAACCCGACACAAAGGGUGAAAGUGAUUUUACGAUUCAUAAUCAAAAUAAAGAUAGACGGGUUAUGGGUAUAAGCAGGAUGGACACUGUUUUACAAACGGUCAACGAAGAAAAAUCUUUAUCCUUAUCUACAGAUGACUCAUCUACUAUAUCGAGUGCUGCUACUGUUAUUCAAGCCCAUAUUAGAGGUUUUCUUUGCAGAAAUCGAUUGAAUCGUAACAAAAUCACUUCGAGCGCGUCUCAAGACUCAUCCCCGAUGUCUUCUGAAGCCGAUCCUGACCUUAUUAAAAAUAAAACCGUCUUAAACAUUCAUAUUGUCCCCGAAGGUGGUCAAUUUGUAAGUAGAGAUGAAAGUAUAUUAACCUCAAUGGAAUUAUCUUUGGAUGGUAGUCCACCUACUUCUGCAAAUUUGCACCCACUGGGCUAUGAUAAAAGCGAACGUAGAAAGCAAUUGAAACGGGAGGACGCAAUACAAUCGAUUUCGCCACCUAGUAACAAUAGCAGAUUAAGUGAAGAACAGGACUCUGUCAAAGAAGUGAUUGUUAAUGUGGUUGAAAAUGAGAAAGCAGAAGAGAUUAAUUCCGAAAAGCCUACUAAUUGUGAACAUGUUAGUGACAAGCAGGAUCAAAUAGAGAAUGUCCUUAAUAGUAACGAUAAAAUAGAGGCGGUAAAUAGUGUUGCUGUAGUGGAAUCUGCAGAUCCUUUACUUAAAAACGAUUUAGUACAAAAACACUCAGCCGAGGAAAUAUUAAACGAUAACGUCAAACACAGUGAAGAGCAUGAAAUAGUUAAGGAAGUAGACGGAAAAGAAGAAACUAAACAUAAGCUUGACUCGGAGCAGAAUGUUGAUUCUCAAAAAAAUGUUGCUACUACUCAAGAUGAAGUUUUAAAAAACAAUGCCGAAAAUACAACUGGAACAGAAAUAUCUUCUGACGAAUUAGAUGUGGUAACUCCUUUUACACCUACUGAAGAAAAGCUUUAUGAUUCUGACAAACCAAAGUUGCUACAUUCCGGUGAGUUCCACGAUGUAGUUCUACCGACGAAGGUGUCCCGCAAUGACACGCCAGUCGUCAGUGGUGAGUGAAGACAACUAUUAUCAGGUGAUAAACCAUUUCGUUCUACCGAGGCCAACGCAUGAGCGCUAAGUAUUUAGAUUUUCACAACGUCCUGGUGUACUUUUUAGUCUGGAACAAUUAACAAACAUUUAUUAUUUAAAUAGCUGA